Molecule: long non-coding RNA, 1763 nt
Organism: Mauremys mutica (yellowpond turtle)
Lineage: Eukaryota; Metazoa; Chordata; Testudines; Geoemydidae
Exons: 4
Source: RefSeq, a predicted model, not a curated record
GGCUGCUGCCCCCCCCCACGCGCCCCACGCGGGGAGGAAGAAGGACCCAGCGCUCUGCUGCCCUGCUUAAACAAGAUGAAACGGAGCUCAUCUUCCAGUGGUAGCAAUGGCCGGCCUGCUGCCCAUUAGAGUUCAGGACGCAAGUAGAGCUGGUCCACAUACACCUGAAGCAAGGACAAGUGUUUCUGGAGUGUCACAAAAGACUCCAUGGGGCUUUUUUGCUGGUACAGAAAAGUUAAAGGAUCCCAGGCCACUUCAUGACAAGGCUUACAUCCAGCAGUGCACCCGACAGCUCUGCGAGGUCCCCACUGUUGAAUCCAGGCUCUGGUGUCUGAACAAGGCACUGGUUCUCGUGUCAAACCCUGCAAUGGAACCCAGGUGCCCUGUUGGUAUACAAGGUACCAAAUCCUUUCAAUGAAGGCAUUGCCACCAGGUCACUGCAACUCUCAGACUCCAUGACUGUCUGACUCCGCUCAGCCUCUGGUUGUUUUUUACUUUGUUCCCUUAGGGGUAUCCUGCUGUCUUCUAGUAUUUCAACCUCAACAUUUUCUUCCCCCUUUAAGCGUUUGAAUUGGCUCCAUUUGCUGGUGUAGGUUCUAGCUAUUGCUAGGCUGCAGUGUUCAAGAGACCCUAGAAAAUGCUUGAAGCUUGUACAAGGGCAUCUUCAGGCUAAAUAUCAUAGCUUAAAACAUUCGUUUCUCUGUAUGACUUCAGAGUUACAGAUACUUCGUUUUUAAGGCCAGAAAUGAGCAUUAGGUUAUCUAAUUCAACUUCCUGUGUAACACAAGUGAUAAAAUUUCACCCAGCUACCCCUGUAUUGAGCUCAAUAAUUUGUUGGACUAAAGUAUAUCUUUAUUACUGGUAAGGCCAAAACUAUGAAAGCUGAAAUAACUUACUUUCACCACAUCUAUUCUAUCUUUUGCCCUUCUUUUAUCAUAGACAGUGAAACUAGAUGACUCUGUUUUACUUUCUGGUUCUCAUGCACUAGUGUAAUGCUGUGAUGUUUGGGUUUCUGAUAUUGCAGGGAAAUAUUCUGAAGAAUAUAUUUGCUUUUUCACACAAUCAAUGCCUUGCAUCUAACCUACUUAAGUUUCUCUUUUCAAUGCACCUAUGCCUGACUAAUCACAGUGUGGAUUUCUUCCAGAAUUGGUGAAAUCCCUGUUAAAUGACACAGUGGGUUUUGUCAUUUCUCAGUGAUUUCAGAUAGGUUGUACUUGAGACAGGUUUCCCUCUUUUCUCCCCCCCCCCCCCACUCCAAGCCCCUUUGGUGCCACGUGGCACUGGGGUACUGCUGAGCCUGCCUGACCCACUCAGCUGGGCUCCCUUUCACAUUGUGGGGCUGUGAUAAGUUGCCAAGCUCUCCAAGCUUGCUCUGUCACCAGCAUACACACAGAUAGGGACACACCCAGCUGCAGCUUCACACACACAUGCUGAGAUCAGCUCUGCAUGAGAAGGCUCAGUUAAGGCACUUCCCAGUUGCUAAGGCACGCACCCCGCUCUGGAGCGUAAACCCAAAAUUAUACCAUCUUGUGCUGCACAGGGAGCAACUGUACAUCGUAAGGUCAUAAAAUUCGCUCCUCCCUCAAUGUGGAGAGAGAGAUGCAACAACUUUCUCCCCCAAGUUAUAAUUUCCACAUACUGCCUUUAGACGAAACAACAACAAGUUUAUUAACUACAAAAGAUAGAUUAUAAGUCAGGGGUGGCCAACCUGAGCCUGAGAAGGAGCCAGAAUUUACCAAAGUACAUUUCCAAAGAGCUACAGU